RNAcentral lists this long non-coding RNA (1307 nucleotides) under Gallus gallus (chicken). The record is from RNAcentral. Lineage: Eukaryota; Metazoa; Chordata; Aves; Galliformes; Phasianidae.
AGCCUUGUGAUUCAUACUGUGUGAAGUAUAACUUAAUCAGGUAUUUUCUUAUAUUUCAAACUAUAUUACUGAAUUGAACAGAAUGGUGUAAUGAAUAUUUUGUUUCUCACUACUUACAAGCAGUGAGAAUUCACUCACAUUCAGUGUUAUUAGUGCAACACUGAGGAAAUCAGAUUUGUCUGUCUUCUCACAAUGAAGUUUCUCUGUGCCAAACUUGUUAAUAAAUGUCAUUUCACGAAAGCUAUUUGAAAAGGUGAACAUCUCUGUAUUUCAGCUCAAAUGUUCACUGAUAGAAAAGAGGAAUGUCAUGGAUAGGGUUGGAGAGGCUUCUUUGUUUUUCAUUUUAAGCUCUAGAAGGAAGAACAACUUUUACUGGUCUGAGUGCCCUUAAUUGAUUACUUUAUCAUAUGUAUAGCAUUAUCUCUAAUGCUUACGUAAACAAAUCACUUUUUUUCAUUGCAGAGUCGUUUGUUAUUGUUUGCCUCUUUCACAAAUGUGAAUGGAAACUGAACUUCUUGUGCAUUCUUGUUUUGUAUUUAAAUGUCACUUACCUUGGGAAACAACUAAUCUUUAAAACAUCUGUGAUAGACUAUGCAUUAGUUUUUACAUGCUUCUAAUAACUUGAAGAACUGUAUGCAAAUUGCUGAAUCCAUGAAGCUUAUACUGUUUGAUUUAUAUAGAGUGAAUAAGCAAUGUUUAGAAAAGAGCUUGAAGGUUUAAAGUAAGAAGUGCAUAGACAGUUGAAAGUGCUGAUAAAUAUCUUAGAAUGCCAAAGUAAUAAACAGAACAAAAAGUGAGAACACUGCUACACAAACAGAUAGUUUGGUUUGAUGUCUUAAACCUGAAAAGAAACACUGCUUCAUAUGAAUGUGUUUUCAUCAGUGGGAUAUGAAAGGAUAUUUGGCCCUGUUCUACAUAACAAUAGAUUUCAGUACCUAAUUCCUUCUUAUGAGGCUGCCACUUGAAAGUCAGAUGCCUUUAAUACAGGCAGUCAGUACUCCUCAGUCACUGUAGGGCUAACAGAACUAGUGAGGAGAUAUUGCACAAUGGAGCAUGCUCAAAGCAUAAAUGCUGAAUGGACAAAUGCACCAAGUAAGGCUUUUGUAUUGGUUCAGAAACAGACAUAUCGAUAUUCUGUCAUCCCAAUUUCAGGUGAAGUGAUCGGCCUGUACAGAGUCCAAUACAAAGUAAAGUCAGUAAAUAUGAGGAAAGCCCAUGAAACUGCCAGACUUCAGGCAGAAAUCAGAGAGAAAUCACAGCUCCUGGACACAAUGUGUAACAGUGUUCCACUACAGAGAGAGCAGUAA